GAUGAAGAACGCAGCAAAAUGCGAUAAGUAAUGUGAAUUGCAGAAUUCAGUGAAUCAUCGAAUCUUUGAACGCACAUUGCGCCCGCCAGUAUUCUGGCGGGCAUGCCUGUUCGAGCGUCAUUUCAACCAUCAAGCCUUCGCUUGUGUUGGGGCCCCGCGGCUGCCGCGGCCCCCUAAAUCCAGUGGCGGGCUCGUCGUCGUACCGAGCGCAGUAGACAUCCUCGCUCCGGGAACCCGACGGGUGCCGGCCGUGAAACCCCCCCCAUCAAGGUUGACCUCGGAUCAGGUAGGAAUACCCGCUGAACUUAAGCAUAUCAAUAAGCGGAGGA
Molecule: unclassified non-coding RNA, 329 nt
Filed under: soil metagenome
Description: partial contains 5.8S ribosomal RNA, internal transcribed spacer 2, and large subunit ribosomal RNA
Rfam family: 5.8S ribosomal RNA (bases 1-120)
Source: RNAcentral